UACGUAGGGUGCGAGCGUUGUCCGGAAUUAUUGGGCGUAAAGGGCUCGUAGGCGGUUUGUCGCGUCGGGAGUGAAAACCUCGGGCUUAACUCGGGGCUUGCUUUCGAUACGGGCAGACUAGAGGUAUGCAGGGGAGAACGGAAUUCCUGGUGUAGCGGUGAAAUGCGCAGAUAUCAGGAGGAACACCGGUGGCGAAGGCGGCUUGCUGGGCCAGUUCUGACGCUGAGGAGCGAAAGCGUGGGGAGCGAACAGG
Molecule: ribosomal RNA, 253 nt
Filed under: uncultured bacterium
Lineage: Bacteria
Description: partial 16S ribosomal RNA
Rfam family: Bacterial small subunit ribosomal RNA
Source: RNAcentral